GUGGGGAAUAUUCCGCAAUGGACGAAAGUCUGACGGAGCAACGCCGAGUGAGUGAUGAAGGUUUUCGGACUGUAAAGCUCUGUUGUUUAGGACGAAAGUGCCUGUUGCGAAUAGUUACAGGUAUUGACGGUACUGAACGAGGAAGCCACGGCUAACUACGUGCCAGCAGCCGCGGUAAUACGUAGGUGGCAAGCGUUGUCCGGAAUUAUUGGGCGUAAAGAGCAUGUAGGCGGGAAUCUAAGUCUGUUGUGAAAAUGCGGGGCACAACACCGUAUUGCGAUGGAAACUGGGUUUCUUGAGUGCAGGAGAGGAAAGGGGAAUUCCCAGUGUAGCGGUGAAAUGCGUAGAUAUUGGGAGGAACACCAGUGGCGAGGGCGCCUUUCUGGACUGUGUCUGACGCUGAGAUGCGAAAGCCAGGGUAGCGAACGGGAUUAGAUACCCGUGUAGUAC
This 450-nucleotide ribosomal RNA is filed under the name uncultured bacterium. RNAcentral describes it as "partial 16S ribosomal RNA". It matches the Rfam family "Bacterial small subunit ribosomal RNA", at positions 354 to 796 of the family's 1533-position model. The record is from RNAcentral.